This 397-nucleotide ribosomal RNA is filed under the name uncultured bacterium. RNAcentral describes it as "partial 16S ribosomal RNA". It matches the Rfam family "Bacterial small subunit ribosomal RNA", at positions 523 to 918 of the family's 1533-position model. The record is from RNAcentral.
AUACGUAGGGGGCGAGCGUUGUCCGGAAUGAUUGGGCGUAAAGGGCGCGUAGGCGGCUUUGCAAGUCAGUAGUGGAAGUCCAUUUUUCAAGGAUGGAAGUGCUACAGAAACUGCGGAGCUUGAGUGCAGGAGAGGUUAUCGGAAUUCCCGGUGUAGCGGUGAAAUGCGUAGAGAUCGGGAGGAACACCAGUGGCGAAGGCGGGUAACUGGACUGCAACUGACGCUGAGGCGCGAAAGUGUGGGGAGCAAACAGGAUUAGAUACCCUGGUAGUCCACACUGUAAACGAUGAAUGCUAGGUGUAGGAGGUAUCGACCCCUUCUGUGCCGCAGUAAACACAGUAAGCAUUCCGCCUGGGGAGUACGGUCGCAAGAUUAAAACUCAAAUAAAUUGACGGGG